This 113-nucleotide small nuclear RNA is filed under the name Cyprinodon variegatus (sheepshead minnow). RNAcentral describes it as "U1 spliceosomal RNA (ENSCVAG00000021662.1)". Lineage: Eukaryota; Metazoa; Chordata; Actinopteri; Cyprinodontiformes; Cyprinodontidae. The record is from RNAcentral.
AAACUCCACCAGCCGCCUCUGUGUUCACAAAGAGCCUUUGCAAAUUCCCCAAAUGUGGGAAUCUCAACUGCAUAAUUUUAGGUAGUGGGGGACUGCUUAUGCCCUCUCCCCUG